This 102-nucleotide ribosomal RNA is filed under the name Acanthosepion pharaonis. The record is from RNAcentral. Lineage: Eukaryota; Metazoa; Mollusca; Cephalopoda; Sepiida; Sepiidae.
CCGUUGAAACACCGGUUCACGUAAGAUCACCGAAGUUAAGCAACGUCGAGCCAGGUCAGUACAUAAGAUGGGUAACCGCUUGGAAAUACCAGCUGCUGUAAG